This 2715-nucleotide long non-coding RNA is filed under the name Homo sapiens (human). RNAcentral's name for it is "HSALNT0045623". The record is from RNAcentral. Lineage: Eukaryota; Metazoa; Chordata; Mammalia; Primates; Hominidae.
GUAGGGUUGCUGGCUUUCUAAGAAAGGAAGAGACCUGAGCAAGCAUCUUAGCACACUCGGCCCCCUUGCCAUGUGAUACACCUCAGGACUCUGUACAGAGCCCCCGCUAGCAAGAAGGUUUUCACCAGAUGGGCCCCCUCAACCUUGGAUUUCCCAGCCUCCAGAACUGAAAGAGGAAUACAAAAAUGAAUAAGAUCUUUGUCUUCAAAGCAUUCGCCAUCUAGAGAGACACAGAGAUGAGGAGCCCAAGAGAUGAAACUGGAGAGCUCCUAAAACCCAGGAGGCUCUUAAAACUCCUCUACCAACAUCUCCCCUCCAUGAAAAAAGGAAGGGUCAGCCCAAGAAGCAGGAAGCAGCAGUGCAGGGAGAAAAGAGUACUGGAUUUAGAGUCAGACACCCAGGUUCAAGUUCUAGUUUGCAGUUCAUAGAAGCAGUCUUCCCAGCUUGAUUUUAUUCACAGAAGAAAAAAGGCACCCCUGGGAAGUGCCUGACAAAAGCUUGAAGAGAGAAGAGGCUCUGCUGUGGUUUGAAUGCGUCCCCCAAAGUUCAUGUGUUGGAAACUUGAUCCCCGAUGCAGCAGUACUGGGAGGAUGCCCUUUGCCAUGUUAUGAUCCUGCAGGAAGACCCUCACCAGAUAUGGCCCCUUGAUCUUGGACUUCCCAGCCUCCAGAAUUGUGAGAAAUAAAUUUCUGUUUUUAAUAAAGUUCCUAGUUUGUUGCAUUCUGUUAUAGCUGCACAAAGCAGACUGAGACAGGCUCCUUUACUCAUGGUGAAGAAGGUAAGUCCCUUAUGACUUUAUCAAAUAAAAAUAAUGACUACAGGUAAAGGGCUAGAAAUUUUUAGACAAAAGGCCAGUGGGUAUCACAGGGAGCUUUCCAGUUGGCUGUUUUGGCAGAAUGGCAAGACUUUCCUUCCUCAUUCUCAAAGCUUCCUGACAUUUACAGCUUUGGAAGGUGGUGAGUGAGAAAAUUUUCCAAGGGACUCUAGACAUUCUCAGAAUCCCCUGGUUCCACACUUGCUAGAUUAUGGAAGAGAGAAGAGACACCUAAAAGGAAAAAAAAAAGGAAGGAGAAAGGGGAAUCAGCUCUUUAGUCCCCUAAGACCCACUUGGCUGUGGCUCCUGGCUGCCAAGGGUUGCCUGUGAGUGGUUCUCCAGGCAUGAACUGUGACCACCCUGCUAUAGAUUAAUCCUUUCCUCCUACAAAGUUGGUCUUCAGUAUACUUAAUGAGGGAGAAAUGGGAUGUCUUUUUUUCCUUCCAGAAUCACUCUAGUAUGACCUGCAGAAUGAUUAGCGUGGCUCAGCCUCAGUUGGGAUAUCAUGGCUUAAAUUAUUCCUAUUAGUUUCCAGCUGACCUUGGAACACAAGCAUUACAUGUGAUUUCAAUGAAACUUUAGACUUUGUUGUUCUCAGUUAACUAGUGAAACAGUUGAACCUUCCCAUGACUUGUGGUAAUUAUAAUAAAGGGUAAGUAUUAUCACAAAUAAUGCAAACCGAUUUACAAGAUGGCAAAGUGAUGUUCUGGAAGUUGUGCGCAAAGACAAAAUGUGAACUGAACACUUAGAAAAAAUGUAGUGCCAUUCAAAAGGUUGAUGCAUUACUGCCAAAAUACAACCCCACCUGACAGUAUUACUUUACAGUGAGUUUUGGCACAACUCACUGGUUACAAGAAACAUUGUGUUAACAGGAAAAGCCACUUUAAAACUCUGUUUGAUACUUAAAGCUCUCAAAUACACUCUAAACGUUUAAACCAACACUCCAAACUGAUUAAAGCAUUUAUGGAAAAUAAAAGUGUUUUGCCAGUGGGGAAAGGAUGAGGAAUCUUUGUUGUUGUUGCUUGUUUGUUUGUUUUUAUCGAGGUGUAAAACAAAACCCCCAAAUUUGACAGAUUUCCCAGUUCUAAUUAAGUUUUAUGAGGUUAAGAGUUUAUGCCACCCUUCUCAAACAAUUUAUCCAAACUCAAUGGAUUUUCAAAUCACAUAUAAUGACCCUUCUGGCCUAGGAGAGGGAUGGUGUCCUCUUGAUGGCCAUAUUCCUACUGUGGAAUAUAAUUCCUGGCACAUAACAGAUGCUUAAUAAAUGUGUAAUGAAGGUGGGAACUGUGCCUCAUAAUUCACUUUGAAGCACAUCUAGCAACUCAUCAUAUUUAAAUAGUCAUUUCAGAGAUGUUUCAUAUACUCUGUUUUCUAGGACUGGAGUGUCAUAUCUCAGCUUCUCGCCCCUUGAUCUCCAUAUGCCUGGUAAGCUCUUCUUCAUCUUCAGAUCACUUUCUUUGAAGAUUCCCCAACUUGUGAUGCCUAAGGCCCUGGAACCAGUCUCAAUUUGAUUUCUGGUUCUGCUACUUAUAAACUUUGCCACCUUGAUGAAUGGCUUGAUUGUUUUGUGUCUCAGUUUCUCCAUAUGUGAAGUGUAUCUUCAUGAGGAUUUGGUAGGUUUAUGUGUAUCAUAUGAUGAUCACUAAAUACAUGUCAGUUCUUACUGCCUUCAGUACUUGCAAUGUACUGCAAUUUUUUGUUUGCUUGUUUUCCUUUCACUCAAUUACAACUCACACAGAGUAGGACUUCUAUCUUUUACCUUUGUGCUCCUGGGUUUACAAAAUGCAGACUCUGAACUUGGUAAGAAAGCAAUACAUUUGCUGAUUUACAUAGUCCAAAACCAUGCCAUUCCCUGAGAGGCCAGUGAGGCCAAUCUUUUCCUUAUUCUUUAGGGAUGUCCU